Molecule: ribosomal RNA, 1353 nt
Filed under: Triticum aestivum (bread wheat)
Lineage: Eukaryota; Viridiplantae; Streptophyta; Magnoliopsida; Poales; Poaceae
Description: partial small subunit ribosomal RNA
Source: RNAcentral
AUGUUUUCUAACCCGUUUCAUUUUGCCUUGUGCAAGAGGAAGGAUGGUGCGGGUUGGAAUGAAUCGGACGACCACUUGCAUUACUCUUGCAACUUGGAGGAGGAAGGACCGGGUCACGUCACGUGUGGUAAUAGUCGCCUCUGUGGCUUGGUCCACUCGUCUGUCAGCACCACCCAUGGAGCUUCAUCUUCCUCCAUCCAUGUCAAUGUCGUUGUCGUUGACCUCUUUCACUCCAACACUCCCUCCGCGUGCAUACCUACAUUAUAUACGACCAGGAGAUGGAAUGGGGCGCAUCUUCGCUCACCAGGCCACACGGAACUACGUACUGUAUUAAUCAACGACCGAGAUCUGGACACCGACCGCAGGGCCGCCAUGGACUCGUCGUCGUCGCGCUGGGCCGCGCCCGCCGUGUCGGCCGGCGGCGUGCUCGCCUCGGCGGCCAUCUUCCUGCUGUGCAUGACGUUCGCCCACGCGCUCAUCUUCCUCCACCACCGCUACUUCAGCACCGGCGUCGUCGCGCCCAGCGGUCGUCGUCGGGCGCGCGCGCGGAGCGCCCGGACGGCGGCCCCGCCUGCCAAGGGCGUCGACCCGGAGCUGCUGCGGUCGCUGCAGGUCACGGUGUACCGCGCCGCGGACGACGUCGGAAUCGGAUUGGUGGACUGCGCGGUGUGCCUGGCCGGGCUCGAGGACGGGGAGGAGGCGAGGUUCCUGCCCGGGUGCGGCCACGGGUUCCACGCGGGGUGCGUCGACAGGUGGCUGGCGUCCCACACCACCUGCCCGCUCUGCCGGGUCACCGUCGUCGGCAAGCCCGACCCAGAGGCUUCGACGUCCACGAGUCUCCCUCCCGUACCUCCGGAGCCGGCGAACUACGCAGCGAACCUGCAGCUGCCGGCGAGUGUGCUGCUCGGGGUUACAGACCAGACCACGCUCGGUGCGGUGACCGCGGCCACCGAGGGAGUGCUGGUGAUCGACGUUCCGGAGUCAAUGAUGGUGGCAGCGGCCCCGCGCGACGCGUCCAAGUCUCCGGGAGUGGCCGGGCUGAGGUCGGUGAAGAGGCUGUGGAGCUUCGGGAGGCAAGGGCCGUCGGGGUCCACUACGCCCUGCGCCGGCGGCAGCGGAACGGCAGACGUAGAGCGGCGCAUUAGCAUUCGAGGAGGAGAGGCGAUUCCAGGCGGCGGAGGCGGCGGCGAGUCGCCCUCGAGCCCUUCCUCAUGCAGUCGAACAGAGUGCCAAAGAGAGAUUAGGUUUAGGUGGUCGUGGGCUAUUGGGCUCGCUCGGCUGCUCGGGGCUGCGCUCUGUCGCUCGCCGUGUCCCAGGCGUGUAUCAGCAUUCUUUUUCUUUUCUUUUAAAUAA